AUACGGAGGGUGCAAGCGUUAUUCGGAAUCACUGGGCGUAAAGGGUGCGUAGGCGGUUUGAUAAGUCUGAUGUGAAAUCCUAUGGCUCAACCAUAGAACUGCAUUGGAAACUGUCAGACUAGAAUACUGAAGGGGCAGGUGGAAUUAGUGGUGUAGGGGUAAAAUCCGUAGAUAUCACUAGGAAUACCGAAAGCGAAAGCGAUCUGCUGGGAAGUUAUUGACGCUGAGGCACGAAAGCGUGGGGAGCAAACGGGAUUAGAAACCCUAGUAGUCC
RNAcentral lists this ribosomal RNA (274 nucleotides) under uncultured bacterium. RNAcentral describes it as "partial 16S ribosomal RNA". It matches the Rfam family "Bacterial small subunit ribosomal RNA", at positions 523 to 796 of the family's 1533-position model. The record is from RNAcentral.